Non-coding RNA from Rattus norvegicus (Norway rat), 1660 nucleotides. NCBI's taxonomy places the organism in Eukaryota, Metazoa, Chordata, Mammalia, Rodentia, Muridae. The record is from RefSeq and is a predicted model, not a curated record.
ACCCCAGCUUAGCAGCAGUAACGCCAUUUUGCAAGGCUAUAUUUAAGAUGACUGGUUCAGAGAAAGGUUAGAACACUGAGUACACAGCGGCUGCCAAACAAGAUGUGUUUGGUUGAAGGCCUGGCAACAGGAGGACUGCCGUUGAGCACCUGACAAUGAGAAAAGCCCCGGGAGAGGUCCCACACCCUGGUGGGGGGCCGAGUCAGCCGUUAUGUUCCAAGAAGGUAGCUAAGAAACUUGCCCCCGGGCUGAACCCUUGGGGGGCCGAGUCAGCCGUUAUGUUUCAGGAAGGUAGCUAGGAAACUUGCCCCCGGGCUAAACCCUUGCCAUAUUAGAAUCCACCAAUUAUAUCCCUGUAACCAUGCAUCUGCUUCUGUAUGCUUGCUUCUGCUCCCCAAAAUCCUAUAAAAGCCCAUCCUUGGUUCCGUGGGGCGCGCCAGUCCCCCGAGUGACUGAAGCGCCCGCAGGUGCCUGUGCCUGUGUAUCCCGACAAUAAACCAAAUCCUCUUGCUGAUUGCAUCCUGUGGUGUCUCGGUCUGGUCUUUGGAGUUGGAGGGUCUCCAUCCCGAGGGAAAGUUCUCCCUGAGAGCUUUUCAUUUGGUGCAUUGGCCGGGAAAGGAGAUCCUCCACCCAGGGACCACCGACCACCCACUGGGAGCCCUUCUCUGAGGGCCCAUUUACAGGCCCUACAGAUUGUGCAGAGAGACGUCUGGAGACCUUUGGCCACUGCUUACCAGGACAAGCUUGAGCAUCCGGUGGUGCCACACCCGUUCCAGAUUGGAGACACCGUGUGGGUGCACAGACACCAGACCAAGAAUCUCGAGCCACGGUGAAAAGGACCCUACACCGUCCUCCUGACUACCCCGACCGCCCUAAAGGUAGACGGAGUCUCGGCUUAGAUCCACACACCACACGUCAAGACAGUCCGGUCUGAGGAAUUGACUAAUCACAACACUACACCCCAGACAUAGAGAGUUCAGCACACUCCAAACCCCUUAAAGUUAAAACUCCUACGUGGCUCCUCCUAGCCCUUUUGUGGCCUAGAGUCAGUGGGGGAAUAAGCCCCCACCAGACAAAAAUUUCUUGACCAAGUCGAGUGAAAGAUUUCACUCAAAGUUAGCAAAAAAAUGGGGGAAUGAAAGACCCCAGCUUAGCAGCAGUAACGCCAUUUUGCAAGGCUAUAUUUAAGAUGACUGGUUCAGAGAAAGGUUAGAACACUGAGUACACAGCGGCUGCCAAACAAGAUGUGUUUGGUUGAAGGCCUGGCAACAGGAGGACUGCCGUUGAGCACCUGACAAUGAGAAAAGCCCCGGGAGAGGUCCCACACCCUGGUGGGGGGCCGAGUCAGCCGUUAUGUUCCAAGAAGGUAGCUAAGAAACUUGCCCCCGGGCUGAACCCUUGGGGGGCCGAGUCAGCCGUUAUGUUUCAGGAAGGUAGCUAGGAAACUUGCCCCCGGGCUAAACCCUUGCCAUAUUAGAAUCCACCAAUUAUAUCCCUGUAACCAUGCAUCUGCUUCUGUAUGCUUGCUUCUGCUCCCCAAAAUCCUAUAAAAGCCCAUCCUUGGUUCCGUGGGGCGCGCCAGUCCCCCGAGUGACUGAAGCGCCCGCAGGUGCCUGUGCCUGUGUAUCCCGACAAUAAACCAAAUCCUCUUGCUGAUUGC